Molecule: small RNA, 401 nt
Filed under: Pan troglodytes (chimpanzee)
Lineage: Eukaryota; Metazoa; Chordata; Mammalia; Primates; Hominidae
Description: retained intron
Source: RNAcentral
UCGUGCGCGGUAAGAAGCUGCGCUGUAUCGCGGUGAGGUGUGUUUCCAUUGUAGAAAACCUGGUCAUGGAAUUGCAGAUUGCCCCGCCGCCCUUGAAAAUCAAGACAUGGGCACUGGGAUAUGUUACAGGUGUGGGUCCACAGAGCACGAAAUAACCAAGUGUAAGGCUAAAGUAGACCCGGCUCUUGGCGAAUUUCCUUUUGCAAAAUGUUUUGUUUGUGGAGAAAUGGGGCACCUGUCUAGAUCUUGUCCUGAUAAUCCCAAAGGACUCUAUGCUGAUGGUAAGUACUGUUACCCUCAUAUAGUAGAAAUGGUGAGUCAUCGUGCAGUUGUGAUUUAAUUUACACUCAAUCACAGUUCUUGAAUAAAUUCUUGAAUAAAUUGCAAAACCUUGAGAAUUA